AUUGAACGCUGGCGGCAUGCUUUACACAUGCAAGUCGAACGGUAACAGGCCGCAAGGUGCUGACGAGUGGCGAACGGGUGAGUAAUGCAUCGGAACGUGCCCAGUCGUGGGGGUUAACUACUCGAAAGAGUAGCUAAUACCGCAUACGAUCUAUGGAUGAAAGCGGGGGACCGUAAGGCCUCGCGCGAUUGGAGCGGCCGAUGUCAGAUUAGGUAGUUGGUGGGGUAAAGGCUCACCAAGCCAACGAUCUGUAGCUGGUCUGAGAGGACGACCAGCCACACUGGGACUGAGACACGGCCCAGACUCCCACGGGAGGCAGCAGUGGGGAAUUUUGGACAAUGGGCGCAAGCCUGAUCCAGCAAUGCCGCGUGCAGGAAGAAGGCCUUCGGGUUGUAAACUGCUUUUGUACGGAACGAAACGGCUCUGGUUAAUACCCGGGGCUAAUGACGGUACCGUAAGAAUAAGCACCGGCUAACUACGUG
This 482-nucleotide ribosomal RNA is filed under the name uncultured bacterium. RNAcentral describes it as "partial 16S ribosomal RNA". It matches the Rfam family "Bacterial small subunit ribosomal RNA", at positions 30 to 507 of the family's 1533-position model. The record is from RNAcentral.